This 487-nucleotide ribosomal RNA is filed under the name uncultured bacterium. RNAcentral's name for it is "bacterial SSU rRNA". It matches the Rfam family "Bacterial small subunit ribosomal RNA", at positions 29 to 497 of the family's 1533-position model. The record is from RNAcentral.
AACUAACGCUGGCGGCGUGCCUAAACACAUGCAAGUCGUACGAGAAAGUCGGCUUCGGCUGAUGAGUAAAGUGGCGCACGGGUGAGUAACGCGUGGAUAAUCUGCCUUUUAGUUGGGAAUAACGUACCGAAAGGUGCGCUAAUACCGGAUAAUACUGCAUAACUACUGUUGUGUAGUCAAAGAGGCCUCUGUUUACAAGCUUUUGCUGAAAGAUGAGUCCGCGUACCAUUAGCUAGUUGGUAGGGUAAUGGCCUACCAAGGCUACGAUGGUUAGCUGGUCUGAGAGGAUGAUCAGCCACACUGGAACUGAGACACGGUCCAGACUCCUACGGGAGGCAGCAGUGAGGAAUAUUGCGCAAUGGGGCAACCCUGACGCAGCAACGCCGCGUGAGUGAGGAGGUUUUCGGACCGUAAAGCUCUGUCGAGCGGGAAGAAAUGUAUCGUGGCUAAUAUCCAUGAUAUUUGACGUACGCUAAAGAGCACGGUA